AUUGUCUUCAUGUAAUUAUUAUUCUUAGUCCCAUUAGUGAAAUUGUGAUCCAUUUCUGUCAUGAUUCGUGGGCUAAGUAUGGCUACAAGACACUCCUGUUUAUGGUGAAACAGAAUCUUCCUCAUCUUCCCCUAGGAAUGGAUAUGUUACAGUAACAUAUCUGUCUAGCCUUUAAUGAAUAUAUGUACACAUGUUCUACAACAAACUUGCAUUGAGUUUUGGUCCCAAUAUGGAGGAAAAUAUCUCCCUAUGCAUUUCUACUACAUACAAUCAUAUCCAGAUAUUUUUGUUAAAAGUAUUGAAAGAUUGAGAUCGCGAUAAAUCAGUCUCCGUGUAGUAUGUAAGUCACAAAUUCAAGUCAUAGAAUCAGCCACUAGUACUUGCGUCAGGAUAGACUGCUUAAAUUACACCCCUUAGGGUGUGCCCUUUCCCCAGACCCUAUGUAAGUAAACUCAGGAUGCUUCAAGCAGCGACCAGUCCUAUCAAAAGAUUGAGAUCAUAGUUGUUUUGUUGAUCUCUUCUCAAAUGUUAAUGUCUUAGGAUAAUACAGAUCACGGAUGGUGAGACCUGCAAUUAAUUGUAAUUGGAAAAUUACUACUAAUUUAAAGAUUUAACAGGAAAGAAGCUCGUUGGACACAUCAAUAAGAAGACUGAUAAUCAAUUUUAUAGUGAUGAAAACUACCUUCUCUUCCUGACUAUUUGCUACUUUUGCGGUGGGUCUACAUUUCAGGUGUUUGUGAAUGAUCAGUUCCUCAACUGGGAUCCAAACAAUCGUAUCAAAGUUAGAAUUGUAUCUGCCAGAGCCUAUCACUCCUUGUUCAUGCACAACAUGUAAGAAGCUGAUCAUGAUACUAAUUAAAACUCUCUGUUUUUACUUUCUUAUGUUUUACCAGGUCAGCAGAUAAGUAUCUUUCUACUUUUACAUAUGCACAUUACCUAUCUUUAGAUUUUACUCCCAUUUAAGAGCCUUAGUGAAUUAAAGGAAAUAUCAAAAGAUCAUGUAAAACAUGUUAGUAAGUGCAAUUCAAUAACCGGGUCGGUGACAGGUGUAUCCGACCCACUCCAGAAGAGCUGGAGGAUUUUGGUACUCCGGACUUCACAAUUUACAAUGCUGGUCAAUUCCCAUGUAACCGUUACACCCACUAUAUGACUUCCUCCACUAGCAUAGACAUCAAUCUUGCUAGGAGGGAAAUGGUCAUCCUUGGCACACAGUAUGCUGGGGAAAUGAAGAAAGGUCUUUUCGGGGUAAUGCACUAUCUAAUGCCUAAGCGCCAAAUUCUCUCUCUACACUCUGGCUGCAAUAUGGGAAAAGAAGGAGAUGUAGCCCUCUUCUUUGGAUUAUCAGGUAAAGUAUAAAGGGAUUGGUCCUCCCUUUAUCGGAGAAGCAACAAUACGUGCCCUCUUAUCUUUAUAUCUCACAGCAAAAUGUGAAAUUGUUUCUAUUCGAUGCUCAUGUUUCUCUCUCUGGACUUGUUCUUCAUCUUAGGAACUGGGAAGACAACACUGUCUACUGAUCACAACCGAUACCUGAUCGGAGACGAUGAACACUGCUGGAGUGAUCAUGG
Molecule: long non-coding RNA, 1565 nt
Filed under: Solanum tuberosum (potato)
Lineage: Eukaryota; Viridiplantae; Streptophyta; Magnoliopsida; Solanales; Solanaceae
Description: long non-coding RNA (STUB_LNC005176)
Source: RNAcentral